Bombyx mori (domestic silkworm) is the source of this 84-nucleotide non-coding RNA. Lineage: Eukaryota; Metazoa; Arthropoda; Insecta; Lepidoptera; Bombycidae. The record is from Rfam.
UUAACUCAAAUUUGUAUGGAGUUGAAAAGUUUGCCUACGUUUGCCGCGCGGUAUUCUGUUCCAACUGCAUACAAAUUUGAGUUA